RNAcentral lists this ribosomal RNA (3264 nucleotides) under Triticum aestivum (bread wheat). RNAcentral describes it as "partial small subunit ribosomal RNA". The record is from RNAcentral. Lineage: Eukaryota; Viridiplantae; Streptophyta; Magnoliopsida; Poales; Poaceae.
AUGGAGGUCUCCGCCUCCGCCUCUACGCCUCAAGCUCUCACCCUACUCACUUCCCCCCCUUGCUUCCUCUCUCUUUACCCUUCCGCCCGCCGGCACGGCCGCGCCGGCGGGGGAGGGCUCCUGCUGCGGCCUCCGCCUCAACGGAGGCUGGAGCUGGGGUACCGUGCCCGCCGCCCGGUGGCAUGCUCUCUCAGCGGCUCGUCCUCCACUGCGCUGGACGUGUUAGGCGGCUCGGUGGUCGCCGCGGCCGCUCUCCUCGCCGCCUUACAGCUGGUUUGGCUCAGGUGGCGCGGCGCAAUGCAUAGGGAAUCUCCGGAGGUUUUACAUACACAGGUCAAAAGCAAUGUAAACAAGGCCCUCGGAACAACAACCCAAUCCGUACAUGAUAGUAAUGAUGCAUGUUGUGCAACUCAUGAAAAUAGCUUUUCAGAGCUAUCUAUUUCUGAAGGAAUGAUUAUUAAUGAAUUGGAGUGCCGGGCUAGUAUUUCGUGCAUAUAUCCUGUAAAUAAGACAACACAGGCGGUUUCUGUAACUAAUCCAGGGGCAAUGUUACACACAUUAGUUGAUGUAUCUCGGCAAGAAGAAGUUGGUUGCUCAACUUCAGCAGAAAAAAGAAAUUCUACAAAAAAAGUUAUGGAUGUUCUUGCAACGUCUUAUUCCGGUCCACCAGGACAACAUAAAAGCAAGUAUGUCUCUAACAGAAUUGGCUGGCAAGGUGGGCUCUCAUACCAAUUUUUAUCCCUUUCAGAACUACAGAAAGAUGCUCAAAAUGGCAAUGGUCUUGGUGACAGCCAAACAAACAGCAACAAUGCUCAUUUACUUCGAUGCCAUCAGAGUAAUGAUGAUGAAAAUAUUGAUUUGACAUCUCUUUCAUCCUUCAAAAGAACAGUGGAAUGCCCUCUCAAUUUUGUUCCGCAAGCCAGUAUUGGAAAUUUGUUCAGACCAAGAAAAGCAAUUGAGUUUGCUGAUUCAUAUGUAGGGGGCUCUCAUCUGACACCAGGGAAAUUAGCUCUAUUUGCAUGCUUAAGGGAGGGUCCUGCCAGCAAACAACAGAAAGCAGUGAAAGACCAUGAUGAUGCAAAAACUAUUGGCUGGAGUAUUUCUGAUAUACUGAACAAAGAGAAUCUAGAUAAAUUCAUUCCAGCGACAACAGCUGGAAUAAACGGCACAGUGGAUACAUCAGAUUACAUGAGGCGAUACAAGAGUUCUUUAACAGAUGGAAGGUUGAAGGACUGUGUGGAUUUGUUGGAAAGCAUGGAGCAGAAGGGAUUGCUUGAUACGAAGAAGAUCCACCAUGCCAGCUUUUUGAGUGCAUGUAAAAAACAAAGGGCUGUUAUGGAAGCUGUUCGCUUCUGCCGAUUGAUUGAAAAUCCGAAAAUGAGCACCUUCAAUAUGCUUUUAUCGGUUUGUGCUAAUUCAAAAGAUUUUGAAGGGGCCCUCCAAGUUAUGGUGCUCCUAAAGGAGGCUGGGCUAAAACCCGAUUGUAAACUUUACACCACAUUGAUAUCAACUUGUGCAAAGUGUGGAAAAGUUGAUGCGAUGUUUGAGGUCUUCCAUGAGAUGGUUAGUGCUGGAAUAGAGCCAAAUGUUAACACAUACGGUGCACUAAUUGAUGGCUGUGCUAAAGCUGGGCAAGUAGCAAAAGCAUUUGGUGCUUACGGGAUCAUGAGUUCAAAGAAGGUGAAGCCAGAUCGAGUUGUCUUCAACGCUUUGAUCAGUGCAUGUGGUGAAUCUGGAGCUGUUGCUCGAGCUUUUGAUGUUUUAUCAGAAAUGACAGCAGAAUCCUCAGAAUCGAAAGGAUGCAAGCCAAUUCUUCCUGAUCAUGUCACAGUUGGAGCACUCAUGAAGACAUGUAUUCAGGCUGGCCAGGCUGAUCGAGCUCGUGAGGUUUACAAAAUGCUUCAGGAGUACAGUAUAAAAGGUACUCCAGAAGUUUACACAAUUGCACUGAGAAGCUGUAGCUUGACUGGCGAUUUAGGGUUUGCAUUGAAGAUCUAUGAAGAUAUGAACAAGAUCGGAGUUCAACCUGAUGAGAUGUUUCUGAGUGCUCUAGUUGAUGUGGCCGGCCACGCUAGGAGGGCUGAUGCUGCUUUUGAAAUAAUCAAAGAUGUAAGAGCAAAGGGAUUUCAUGUUGGAAUCAUGGCAUACAGUUCCUGUAUGGGCGCUUGCUGCAAUGCCAAGGACUGGAAAAAGGCGCUGCAGCUAUUUGAGGAGAUCAAGGCUAUCAAAUUAAUUCCAACAGUCCCGAUGAUGAAUGCUUUAAUUACUUCCCUCUGUGACGGCGAUCAAGUUUUAAAAGCUGCUGAGGUCCUUAAUGAGAUGAAGGAACUACGUGUCCGUCCAAAUGAGAUAACCUAUUCGGUCUUAUGUGUGGCUUGCGAAAGAAAUGGUGAAGCACAACUAGCUCUUGAUUUAUUUGAGCAACUAAAAGUAGAUGGUACUGGCCUCAAUCCCACCAUUGUCGGUUGUCUUACUGGUUUAUGUCUACAAAUGUUUUCCUAUGAUCUUUCACUUGGCAACAUCAUUGUCAGAUUCAACCAAGGGAAGCCACAGAUUGACAAUAAAUGGACAUCCUCAGCAAUUAUGGUUUUCCGUCAGGCAAUCACCGCUGGUCUGCUACCCUCAAGCGAUGUUUUAUCUCAAGUGCUGGGUUGUUUGAGGUUUCCUCAUGACAGUUCAUUGAAAACCACUUUCAUUGAUAAUAUGGGAAUAAGUUGUGAUAUGCCACAUCACCCCAAUACAAAUUCACUGUUGGAAGGAUUCGGUGAAUAUGAUAUUCGUGCUUUUUCAGUAUUGGAGGAAGGUGGCUUGUUAGGAGCAGUUGCAAGCACUUCCACAAAAUAUAGUCAAAUUGUCAUUGAUGCAAGAAAGUCAAACAUCUACACAGCCGAGGUUUCUCUUCUAUCGACAUUUAAGUCUUUGAAGCAUCGACUAGCUGCAGGUGCAAGGUUACCAAAUGUUACAAUUCUAUUACCCACCGAAAAGAAACAAGUUGAUCUUGAUGAAAGGGAGAAAACACUUAAACUUGCUGGAAGAGUCGGGCAAGCAGUUGGCUCCCUGCUGAGAAGAUUAGGAAUUAAAUAUCAAGGCGAGGAGUCCCACGGGAGGAUGAGGAUCAACGGCCUCACAUUAAGAAGGUGGUUUAACCCAAAAUUUACAAGCGCACCCUCCACAGGAGCUCCAGUUGAGUUGCUUCCACUGCCCUCGCGGUUAGCGAAAGGGAUUGCUGAUCAGCAGCGUGAUAUCAGAAGCCUUUCUCUAUAG